CCUCCUACGCCCAGUCCCCCACAGCUCACUCUCAUCCUCUCCUUCUAGAAAAAAGCUCACUCAUCUCAAGGUCACUUCCUGUGACUCCCCCAGCGCCGGCGACCGGACCCCGCUCCCGUGCCUCUCCGCCGCUGGCCUCGACGGCGUCCUCCUCCUUCCGCUUCCUCCAGGCGACUGGAGACUACGCUGCUCUCGCGGAGGGCUAGGUGACCCAGGCUCACCCAGCGGGAUGCGCCAAGAGAGGUGGUGAGGUGGAGGGGCGGAUCUCGUUUCCACGGGAUUCUCUGCCGUGGCCUCCGCCACCGGAGUUCGGUGGCUCUGGGUCGGCCUCCUCUCCGCCACCGACGCCGUCCGCCGCCAAAUGAGCUCCCUCCCACAUCAGAUGUCUUCAACGCCGCUGACCAUGGCGGCAUCACUCUGGCCGGGCUCACUACCGACGGACGGUCCUCUCCGGCUUCCUCCCCUGCGAGUGCAUCACCCACGGCUUCGUCUACGACGCGCAGAAUGUGUGAGAGACCAUUAAUUUCAAUCCCCCCUCCACCGGUGGAGGGGCAUACCUCGUCUCCACUGGAUCCGCAGCCACCGCCACCGGCGUUCGAUGCCUCUGCGUCGUUCUGUAAUCUUAACCCUCACUCUUCUUCACGCGGCGGCAUCCGAUCGGACGAUGAUGAUGCUGGAGGUCGACGUGGCGGGGACAUCGACGCCCGUGGAUGAGGCAAAGGGGCUCUGAAUCGGCGGCUGGAGGAGGCCAUCAGCGGGCAGAUAAAUAAAGAGUUUAAAGCUUAUGUUGAGCAAGGCCAGAGUGAAGUGGUCACUGGAAUAGUACAGAUGACGUGGGUUUUUUCGAGUAUGUUGAAGCACUGGUGAUCUUAGUGUCCCUCUUAGACAGCCGUCUUGAGAAUCGUGGUGCAUAUCCUGUAGAGUUUGGUGUGGUAAGCCUAAUUAUGCAAUUAAUGUGUCUAUUUUGGAUGUUUGUCUAUAUGACGGGCUUUAGUUCAUCACUGAGAAUAACCUGAUGUCCUAUGUAUUGUUAAUUUUAUGUAUUGAUUGUUCCCCAUUAACCCCUAUAUAAAUUAAUUUAUAAGCAAACAAAAUGAGUAUUGUGAAAUUUUCCAGUGCCAACCAUAUGAUAUCAAUACGCAGUUACCAUGUCAAAUACAUGUGCCUUUUCUAUUUUCAAACUCGUGGCCUGUAUGUUGCUUAGACAAAUAGUUCUUGGGUUCGUGGUUUUGAUACAUUUCGAAUACUUGCUCAUGCAUAUGGUUAAUUCUUAUGAUAGUUCUUUUUUGGUUCUUGACGACUAACAUAGUUUUGGUUCUUUGUAAAACCCAGUAGCAUAGCAAACAUAGUUUAUACACAUGAAUUGUGGUUUAGAACCAUGCAUUAAGUAAAACAACAAACCUAAAUUUGCAACCAUACGUGUACUUGGCCACAUAUCCAAAAUAUUGUUUCAAGGUAUCUCAAACUCAGCUAAUCAUUUUGUUGUUUGCUUCGUCCAAUCCCACUUCAGUUUUAUACUAUUGAGAGUUGCAAUCUCUGCCGUGCCGCUUCCUAAAUUCAGCAAAAACAUAUCACGUUCAGGCGGUAGGAAGAACAACUUGAUGUACUACUGAUUUGGUAGCAUUCCGAACGUGUGUUGUGUUGUUUAAUCACACAAAAAUUCUACUUGUUUAUGAUCAAUUGAACACUGUACAACUUGGUUUUGACCGGGUAACCAUUAUCUAAGAAUGUUCAUAUUUCGUUGGUCAAAUUGAAUCUUCCAAAGCAACAUGGUAUCUGUUCUCGAGCUCUUCCCCAUUGAGCCAGAAAUCUUAGCAGAUUGGCUUCACAAACAAAGGUCACCUCUUUCUUUUGUAUAUGUUAUGCUCCCUAGCAAAAAUCUUAGUGAAUAUGAUUUGGUUUCAAAAAUAAAGGUCAUUGCUUUCAUACACGUUUGAAAAGGAAUAUGACUUCGAUCCAAUUGUUUCAU
Lolium perenne is the source of this 1969-nucleotide long non-coding RNA. RefSeq lists it as uncharacterized. NCBI's taxonomy places the organism in Eukaryota, Viridiplantae, Streptophyta, Magnoliopsida, Poales, Poaceae. The record is from RefSeq and is a predicted model, not a curated record.